UUCCAGGGAUGGGAAUCGAACCCACACUGUUCCGCUUACCGGGCAGAUGCCAUGUCCACUAGGCUACCCUGGA
Non-coding RNA from Cordylochernes scorpioides, 73 nucleotides. The record is from the annotation of a GenBank genome assembly. NCBI's taxonomy places the organism in Eukaryota, Metazoa, Arthropoda, Arachnida, Pseudoscorpiones, Chernetidae.